This is a long non-coding RNA of Camelus dromedarius (Arabian camel), 305 nucleotides long. RefSeq lists it as uncharacterized. NCBI's taxonomy places the organism in Eukaryota, Metazoa, Chordata, Mammalia, Artiodactyla, Camelidae. The transcript has 3 exons. The record is from RefSeq and is a predicted model, not a curated record.
UAAAUUUUGAAUAUUCUUGAGAUGAGAGGUUCACUUUAUGUUUUUCUCAGGCGUUACAACAACUCCAGUUCCCAUCACCUCCAUGGCUGGAAGUGAGGGCACCACAGGAGCAGGGGGCUCCAUCUUCACCAGUCCUGGGAGCUUACCAGGGUCAACUGGAGCAUCAGCAAGUACAGCCACAGAAGCUGAAGCCACGAGUGACUCAGGCUUCAGAGCAGGAGGAACAGGAGCUCCUACGGCACCAGCGACAGGAGGAGAGGAAUACAGCACAUCCAUGGAACCAAGCACAGGAGCAACGAGCCCAG